UAAUGGAAAUAGAAAAGGGCAGUUGCUCAAACAACUACCCCAUGCAGAACCGUUUAAGACGGUGGCAUAUUUAAUUGUAAAAA
Molecule: small RNA, 83 nt
Filed under: uncultured Streptococcus sp.
Lineage: Bacteria; Bacillati; Bacillota; Bacilli; Lactobacillales; Streptococcaceae
Description: RNA anti-toxin A
Rfam family: RNA anti-toxin A
Source: RNAcentral